This 800-nucleotide ribosomal RNA is filed under the name uncultured bacterium. RNAcentral's name for it is "bacterial SSU rRNA". It matches the Rfam family "Bacterial small subunit ribosomal RNA", at positions 8 to 796 of the family's 1533-position model. The record is from RNAcentral.
AGAGUUUGAUCCUGGCUCAGGACGAACGCUGACGGUGUGCUUUAGACAUGCAAGUCGAACGAGAAAGCCCUUCGGGGUUAGUACAGUGGCGAACGGGUGAGUAACACGUGGGCAAUCUGCCCCUCGCAGGGGGAUAACCGGGGGAAACCCCGGCUAAUACCCCGUACGCUUACGGAGCCGCAUGGCUCCGCAAGGAAAGGUAGCUUCGGCCAUCCGGCGAGGGAUGAGCCCGCGGUACAUUAGCUAGUUGGUGGGGUAACGGCCCACCAAGGCGACGAUGUAUAGCUGGUCUGAGAGGAUGAUCAGCCACACUGGGACUGAGACACGGCCCAGACUCCUACGGGAGGCAGCAGUCGGGAAUCUUGCGCAAUGGGCGAAAGCCUGACGCAGCAACACCGUGUGAGCGACGAAGGCCUUCGGGUCGUAAAGCUCUGUUGUUGGGGACGAAGGGUUAGGGGUUAAUAGCCCCGAGCCUGACGGUACCCUUCGAGGAAGCCCCGGCUAACUACGUGCCAGCAGCCGCGGUAAUACGUAGGGGGCGAGCGUUGUCCGGAAUUAUUGGGCGUAAAGAGCGUGUAGGCGGUUCGGUAAGUCUGCCGUGAAAACCCAGGGCUCAACCCUGGGCGUGCGGUGGAUACUGCCGGGCUAGAGGGUGGUAGAGGCGAGUGGAAUUCCCGGUGUAGCGGUGAAAUGCGCAGAUAUCGGGAGGAACACCAGUAGCGAAGGCGGCUCGCUGGGCCAUACCUGACGCUGAGNNNCGAAAGCGUGGGGACAAACAGGAUUAGAUACCCUAGUAGUCC